CCUUUGUCUUGGCUUGCAGGAGAUGCCAACAGACUGUUGAGAGGUAUCAAAGAAAGCUGGAAGACUGGGAGAACAGAAACCCUCAGCUAAAUUUGAAGAGCCCCACAAGGACGUAAGAAGGACAAGGUCCUGGUUGGUAGUGGUAUUUGAAUCACGUCAGACCUCCAGCUGUGGAACUUGCAGGUGAUUAUUGUAUAACUCUCUGCAGAUCUUCUCAGUGAUGGAAAUGUUCUCCAGAGCUUCAGGACAUAGUACUACUGGCAAAAGCAAAAGCUCUUCAGAGAGUGACCAUGAAAAUAUCGAGAAUAAGAGAAGAAAAAAAAAAAAACAGAGGAAAAGGACAAAAAGAAGACAAACAAGUAAAAACUAAAAAAAAAAGCAAAAUCUUUGCAGGAGUUCUGACCACAUUCUAUGACCUUUGGAAUGUAAAUGACUUCAGUGGGCUCUGUGCCCUCUGAUUUUGACCCCCAGUAGAAGCAGGGCAUGGAGAACUACUACAUGAGCCAAUAUAUCCUGUUAGCAAGAUGGCCAAGGUCAACUGGAGUGGGGCUUACUCAGAAGCACGAUGGGCCUUGGUUAAAAAGUCCUGGAUGCAGUGUACAAGACCUGCAUAGCUUUUCUGAUCACAGUAUCACAGUGACUUUAUCACUGUCACCUCCUCAUUGUGAACCGGCCCAUCCCUUGGAGGCAGAGAGUCAUUGUGGAGGUGGCUAUGUACUCAUUUGAACUAAAAUUAUCCGGCUGCCAGCCUGCUUGAUAGCAAUUACAUCUAAAGAGAGAGAACCACUGAACUUCAUGUAUUGGAUGAGAUGGCUCCAGGAAACAACACCACAAAGUUAGCAGCGUGAAGUGGAUGAUGACGUGGUGUCAUUCCCAGAAAGUCUUCUGCUGUUGGUAUCUCGUGAUGCAUCUUGACAGUGUGAUGGCAUCCCACAGCUCUCUGUGCAUCUUCAGGCAAAUGUCACACACUGAAACUAAACAGGAUCUUUUUUUUCUUGUUCAUCCGACGUGCUGUUUUCUGUGCCCGAGAUACAAAUCUGUAUUUGAAAAUGCCUUAACCCUUUGGAAGGACAACCCUUCCUCUCUGUGCCCCAGGAGGGAGUUUUGCAGCAGAUGUGGGGGACGUCGUGUUGGCGUUGGCACCGAGGUCAUUCUGCAUGCUCAGUGCACUCCCAUUGCAAAAGAUGGAGAAGUAUAAUUGUUCUCAUUAUCAUUGUGAAAACUCCAAGGAAAUACAAUCCCAAGAUACUUUACCUUGACAAGCAACCAGGAACAAUAUCAACAUCAAGUCAUGGGAUUUGGAGGCUGUUCCAGUUUCCUACUUUUAUGCACUAUAACAAGACACUGAAACGUAAUUGCAGAAUUCAAGUAAAGCAAUUCCGAUGUGUUUUAUCAUCGAAGAAAGAAAAAUAAUUUCCAUGACAAAAUGGCAAAGCUGUGUUGCUGUUUAUGAAUCACUGUUGGAUGAGACUCUAAGAACUGAAGAGGAGUAAUCAGUAAUAAACCUCAAACCUUUGGAGGCUAUUGGCUGCCCAUCAGCACUGCAAAUUUUGGGUACUCUACUUUGUGUACCCAAACAGAAAGAUAUUGGGAGUACCUCUGAGGAUGGGCAUUCCCAUUUACCAUGAGCUACCAUGGGAGCAUUCCCCCACUGAGGUGGGUCUCUAGGCUGGCAUAUGCCUAAAGAAACAAGUCACCAUGAAGCAACACAAGCAGAGGCAAUAUGUGGUUUUUUUACUCUGCAAACAAAAGCAUACCAUGCAGCCAGCAUCCUCAGGCACUGCUGUCCCCACAGAGCUCCUGGAUGGACAAGAGGAGUUCCCUGGAGUGGAGGAAGGUAGGAAUGGAAAGUUUUCCUGAAUGUGUGUUCAUCCCUCUAUAACCAUCCAUACCUGGAGCCAGGGCACUGAAGGGAGCUGUGCUGAAUCACCCAGCUGGAACCUCCUUUUCUUUCGGCAUUUCAAAACCUAAGUGGACUUCCUAAAGGAGGCAUGUCUGGUCUCACACCGUGCUCCAGCAGCAGUGGCCAGAGAGCUCUGUUCUACAAGGCAAAGCAUGUGUGCUCGCCACAUUGUCUUUCACGGUCUUCUUGUGGAAUCAGUGAGAAAUGUAUACUUUUGGUUCCAGAAGAGAACAUGAUCACAACAUCGGGAUUUCCCAUAGGACGGAAAUUCUGAUCCAUCCAUAUAAUCCCAUGAGGGACUCUUGUUCAUGACUAGGAAAUGUGGACUUGUUCCAAGUGCAGUACAGGCUCCAAAAGUCCCAAACCACCAGAAGCUCCCAGAGCCCCAAGAGCCCACAAUCAAAGUAAAAAUCAGAGGGCAACAGAUGGAUGGAGACAGAUGGAGAACCACAAAGAAACCAGGAGACACAACAGAGACAAAGGCCUGGAUAAAUGCCUACCAGAGCGUGGUUAAAUGUAAAAAUUGGUUUGUUUACAACUCAUACCUGUUGCAUUGAAGAUUUCUAGCUCAACCUACCUAAUAAGACUUCUUCCAGUUGGAUUUUCAGUGAGGAAUAGUAAGCUAUGUUAGACUCUAAAGCUGAAGAUAAUUGUAAAGCCUUUCUGUGUCUUCAGAUUUACUGAGAAACUGCAAAACUGAAGUGCAAGUAUCAUCUCUUCUCCGGGAGAAGUUAAAGGGAAUUAGAUCAACUAACUAGAGGAUGCAGUGCCAAGCUCCAUCAGCAUGCCAGGAUUCAGCCUGCUGUCACUGUCAGGUGCUUUCCAAGCCACUGGCUGCACCGGAGUCUGUUGGUGCUGCAAACCUUGUAAUUGAUGUGCUCCCAGCCAGGCCCUCUGGGAUCCAGAUGUGGUGAGGGUAAAACACAUCAGCCCUACAAAUCUGCCACAUGGGACAGAAACUUUCCAGACCUCGGACUUGACUGUCAGCCCUGUCCUUGCUGGCUUCACACCACAGGCUGCAAAAGCCGUACCCCGCAAGGGAAAGCCUUGGCUGUGACUAGGAACUAGAGCUACCUGUAAUUGCAGAGAUAGAUGGAGGGAGAGCCUUUGUGGCACAGGCCUGUGGCUACCAUCACUGGGGAAGCUGUUCUGGUAUUAACAGCAGUGGGAGAUUUUUACCAGUUGAGAGCCUUGAAACUAAAUGGAACCCCCAUCUGUGGAGGAGAUAGCUAUUGCAUUUUGCCCCACCUUUCCACAGCUUAUAUGAUCACAGAGAAGAGUGGCUUGGAAAUGACAGCAUUGUCUUGCGAUUCAGGGGAGGUGAAACCAAAUCUUCUCCAUGCCAUAUAUUUCCUUGUCAAAUCACCUGUUUCUCAGAGAGGGAGAAAAAUUUGGGUCUUUUUCUAAGUUGCUAGGUGAACGAUCAAGUGUUUAAGACUCUGAAUAAAUGAUGUGUGCCAUAAAAUAACAAAGAUAGAAUAAAUAGAAUUUAUCUUGUCAUGUGGCUUCUGCAAUAGGAUUAACUGGAGCACUCACUGUAGUUAAUAUGUAAUUAAUGUGUGGAUGGACUGUUGUCAGCUGUGUACAUGUUUGAUGUCAGCAAUAUUUUAAAGUAUAAGAAAUUAAUAAUGAAGCCUUCUUGACAAAUUUGUAUCUUGAUAAUGCAGCGCUCCCCCCCUCAUUUAGCCUCCAGGUAUCCCUUGUUGGAAGAGUUAAGCUAGCUUGACUGGGUCAACUUCUUUUCUCUUGGUCCCUUCCCAUCUUCAGAGGACUUUACAUCUGGUUUCUCUGGUGGUUCCUGUUAUUAUUUUUUGAGUGCAUGCUUUAGUAUUUGUAAAGCUCACAAGGAGGACCCUCUUGUCACGAGCAACUACUUUGAAGCAUCCCCCUGCUUCUCAGCACUUUGCUUGACAUGUAGUUAAACAAAUUUACACUUGGUAACUGUUCCUUUCUUCUUCUUUUUUUUUUUCUACCUGGUCCUAUGAGUGAGCACUCAAGACAGAUUUCAUUUCCUUUAAUUGCUCCCAACCUGUUUCAUGCUCUGCAAGCAAGCCUGAGGAAAAGCAUUCAAGGCAGCAAUCUCCAGGCCUUCCAAAUUACCCAUUCUUAUUUUUGUAUUGACCCUUAAGUUCUAUGCACAGGAGUUGUGGCAUUUGGCAAGCCACGACCUGGUUUGAAUUUUGCUAUGGCAAGAUGAGUUUCCAAACCACCACCUGCACUUACAUUUUAACUGUUAAAAUGCCAAUACAGUAUUUU
RNAcentral lists this long non-coding RNA (4159 nucleotides) under Gallus gallus (chicken). Its description in RNAcentral is "lncRNA (ENSGALG00010023092.1)". The record is from RNAcentral. Lineage: Eukaryota; Metazoa; Chordata; Aves; Galliformes; Phasianidae.